GGUCAAGCUACGAAGGGCGCACGGUGGAUGCCUAGGCGAUCAGAGGCGAAGAAGGACGUGGACAGCUGCGAAAAGCUCCGGGGAACCGCUAACAGGUUGUGAUCCGGAGGUCUCCGAAUGGGGAAACCCGAGCAGGGAUUACCUGCCAGCCCGUGGUGAAUACAUAGCCACGAGGCAGCCAAGCCAGGGAACUGAAACAUCUAAGUACCUGGACGAAAGGAAAGCAAAAGCGACUCC
RNAcentral lists this ribosomal RNA (237 nucleotides) under Polyangium sorediatum. RNAcentral's name for it is "partial 23S ribosomal RNA". It matches the Rfam family "Bacterial large subunit ribosomal RNA", at positions 1 to 238 of the family's 2925-position model. Lineage: Bacteria; Pseudomonadati; Myxococcota; Polyangiales; Polyangiaceae. The record is from RNAcentral.